UUAGGUUUCCCCAAAUAAUUAUAAAUAUUAGUGAAAAGCUACCUCCGAACUCCCAAAUUAACCGCUUCUCACCAUUGACGACAAUUCGGUGCAGCAGUCCAUCGAACGCCCACAUCUACUCUCUUAUCGACCGCCAAUCACCACCACGCCACACAGAAAAAAACCAAUUUAGAACCUAUUUUAGUGACCCUGAAAUCCCGAAAUCUCAUACAUGUCAUUGGAAUCGAUUCUUUUGAUAUAUUUUUGCAGGUUUUUGGAUAUACAUUAAUAGUUUUUAUUAGCUUAAACAACAUUCAGGUGCAUAUUUUUUUUUCUUCCAAAUCUAAUGUGGUUUAGUUUCGUUCCUCAUACUUGCAUCUUAUGAUUAUUUUAUUGAUUUAUGCAAUGUGCUAAACUUAUUUACUUGUAAUAUCUUGUGUACUUUUUUUAGGCAACACCCAUCGAAGUGUCUUCAAUACAUCAACAUUUGAGGUUUCAAGGCCUACUUUAUAUGAAGGUGGGAUAUGGUCUUGUUUGGAAUCUUUUUGGGGUUGUCCUUUCACCUGGACGGUUAACUACUAUGGGAGCUGAGAGAACCAAUGUGCAUCAAUAAACAAUCUUUAGGUAUCCCUGGCUUAACGACAUUUGGACCUUUCAGUUCCCUCUCGUUCUCUAGAUUAUUAGGAAAAUCACACCAAUUGCUACUUUUGUAUAUGCUCAUUUUCAAGUAAUCAUAAUCCAUAUAUUUUUGCUUUUGUCGUCCAUUAGUGAUUUUCUUUUGAUGAUUAAUCUUUCAUUUGUGUUUGUCAUCUAUAUUCUUUGUUUAUAGAUAUCAUUUCAAAUUGACAUCAAGGGCUGUUUCUCAUUUUUAUGGCUUUGUUAUACAAGAUGGAUUAUAAAUCUAAUAUAUUGGUAUAUGGAUUAUAAAUCAAAUAGAGAAUAAUAAAAUUAAAAAGCAGUUAAAGAACCGGUUGUAUACAUAAGAACUGGGUUGUUUAAUCAGCCAACACAUCAUCUAAGCUGUAUAAAAGAACUCGGUUCUUUGGUUGAGAACCGGACUAUAUGAUUGCACAAAAGCCUGCAUGUUAACCAUUAAAGGACCCGUUUCCUUUAUAGAAACCGAGAUAUAUUACAUUAAUAGAGCCCGGUUGGUGAACCGGGUUUUAUUAGGAUUUUUACAUAGGGCUCGCCCCAUAAAAGACCCGGUUGUAAACCGGGUUAUAUUAAGCUUUUAACUGGGUUUUUUAAUCCAUUUUGUAGUAGUGUAUCUCGGAUUUACAAAACUGUAUCGAAUUCGCCGCGUUCGAAGAGUAGAGACUAAGCUUCGUCC
This 1309-nucleotide long non-coding RNA is filed under the name Lactuca sativa (garden lettuce). Its description in RNAcentral is "long non-coding RNA (LSAT_LNC005065)". Lineage: Eukaryota; Viridiplantae; Streptophyta; Magnoliopsida; Asterales; Asteraceae. The record is from RNAcentral.